RNAcentral lists this ribosomal RNA (460 nucleotides) under uncultured bacterium. Its description in RNAcentral is "partial 16S ribosomal RNA". It matches the Rfam family "Bacterial small subunit ribosomal RNA", at positions 338 to 795 of the family's 1533-position model. The record is from RNAcentral.
CCUACGGGAGGCAGCAGUGAGGAAUAUUGGUCAAUGGACGAGAGUCUGAACCAGCCAAGUAGCGUGAAGGAUGACUGCCCUAUGGGUUGUAAACUUCUUUUAUAUGGGAAUAAAAUGUUCCACGUGUGGGAUUUUGUAUGUACCAUAUGAAUAAGGAUCGGCUAACUCCGUGCCAGCAGCCGCGGUAAUACGGAGGAUCCGAGCGUUAUCCGGAUUUAUUGGGUUUAAAGGGAGCGUAGGUGGAUUGUUAAGUCAGUUGUGAAAGUUUGCGGCUCAACCGUAAAAUUGCAGUUGAAACUGGCAGUCUUGAGUACAGUAGAGGUGGGCGGAAUGCGUGGUGUAGCGGUGAAAUGCUUAGAGAUCACGAAGAACUCCGAUUGCGAAGGCAGUUCACUGGACUGCAACUGACACUGAGGCACGAAAGUGUGGGUAUCAAACAGGAUUAGAUACCCUGGUAGUC